Molecule: ribosomal RNA, 395 nt
Filed under: uncultured bacterium
Lineage: Bacteria
Description: partial 16S ribosomal RNA
Rfam family: Bacterial small subunit ribosomal RNA
Source: RNAcentral
CCUACGGGAUGCAGCAGUGAGGAAUAUUGGUCAAUGGACGAGAGUCUGAACCAGCCAAGUAGCGUGAAGGAUGACUGCUCUAUGGGUUGUAAACUUCUUUUAUAUGGGAAUAAAAGUUUCCACGUGUGGGAAUUUGCAUGUACCCUAUGAAUAAGGAUCGGCUAACUCCGUGCCAGCAGCCGCGGUAAUACGGAGGAUGCGAGCGUUAUCCGGAUUUAUUGGGUUUAAAGGGAGCGUAGGUGGGUUGUUAAGUCAGUUGUGAAAGUUUGUGGCGCAACCGUAAAAUUGCAGUUGAAACUGGCAGUCUUGAGUACGGUAGAGGUGGGCGGAAGGCGUGGUGUAGCGGUGAAAUGCAUAGAUAUCACGAAGAACUCCGAUUGCGAAGGCAGUUCACU